UUGAUCCUGCCGGAGGCCAUUGCUAUCGGAGUCCGAUUUAGCCAUGCUAGUCGCACGAGUUUAGACUCGUGGCAUAUAGCUCAGUAACACGUGGCCAAACUACCCUACAGACCGCAAUAACCUCGGGAAACUGAGGCCAAUAGCGGAUAUAACUCUCAGGCUGGAGUGCCGAGAGUUAGAAACGUUCCGGCGCUGUAGGAUGUGGCUGCGGCCGAUUAGGUAGAUGGUGGGGUAACGGCCCACCAUGCCGAUAAUCGGUACAGGUUGUGAGAGCAAGAGCCUGGAGACGGUAUCUGAGACAAGAUACCGGGCCCUACGGGGCGCAGCAGGCGCGAAACCUUUACACUGCACGACAGUGCGAUAGGGGGACUCCGAGUGUGAGGGCAUAUAGCCCUCGCUUUUCUGCACCGUAAGGUGGUGCAAGAAUAAGGACUGGGCAAGACCGGUGCCAGCCGCCGCGGUAAUACCGGCAGUCCAAGUGAUGGCCGAUAUUAUUGGGCCUAAAGCGUCCGUAGCUUGCUGUGUAAGUCCAUUGGGAAAUCGACCAGCUCAACUGGUCGACGUCCGGUGGAAACUACACAGCUUGGGGCCGAGAGACUCAACGGGUACGUCCGGGGUAGGAGUGAAAUCCUAUAAUCCUGGACGGACCACCAAUGGGGAAACCACGUUGAGAGACCGGACCCGACAGUGAGGGACGAAAGCCAGGGUCUCGAACCGGAUUAGAUACCCGGGUAGUCCUGGCCGUAAACAAUGCUCGCUAGGUAUGUCACGCGCCAUGAGCACGUGAUGUGCCGUAGUGAAGACGAUAAGCGAGCCGCCUGGGAAGUACGUCCGCAAGGAUGAAACUUAAAGGAAUUGGCGGGGGAGCACCACAACCGGAGGAGCCUGCGGUUUAAUUGGACUCAACGCCGGACAUCUCACCGG
This 924-nucleotide ribosomal RNA is filed under the name Haloarcula sebkhae. RNAcentral describes it as "bacterial SSU rRNA". It matches the Rfam family "Archaeal small subunit ribosomal RNA", at positions 8 to 933 of the family's 1478-position model. Lineage: Archaea; Methanobacteriati; Methanobacteriota; Halobacteria; Halobacteriales; Haloarculaceae. The record is from RNAcentral.